Molecule: unclassified non-coding RNA, 239 nt
Filed under: Hevea brasiliensis (rubber tree)
Lineage: Eukaryota; Viridiplantae; Streptophyta; Magnoliopsida; Malpighiales; Euphorbiaceae
Source: RNAcentral
GCUCAAUAUUUUCCCUAUCCUGAAGAAUCAAAAAAUAAAAAAUUAAGGAGAGAAAAUAUAAGGAAAAAAUCUAACCUCUAACUAAUUAUCAUAGGACAGCAGAAUAUCAGACUAAUCUUAAGCAUAGACAAUAUCCAAUAAAAUGGAGUAAACCAGCCCUGUAAAAUAAGUUGAGAACAUAACUAGAUGAACAUAGCAUAGAACCCACGCCAUCAUCUCAACAUCAUUUUUUUUUUUUU